CUAKGGCCACGCCUGUCCGAGGGUCG
This 26-nucleotide ribosomal RNA is filed under the name Wedlia pylorica. Its description in RNAcentral is "partial 5.8S ribosomal RNA". The record is from RNAcentral. Lineage: Eukaryota; Metazoa; Platyhelminthes; Trematoda; Azygiida; Didymozoidae.